Molecule: ribosomal RNA, 450 nt
Filed under: uncultured bacterium
Lineage: Bacteria
Description: partial 16S ribosomal RNA
Rfam family: Bacterial small subunit ribosomal RNA
Source: RNAcentral
GUGGGGAAUAUUCCGCAAUGGACGAAAGUCUGACGGAGCAACGCCGCGUGAGUGAUGAAGGUUUUCGGACUGUAAAGCUCUGUUGUUUAGGACGAAAGUGCCUGUUGCAAAUAGUUACAGGUAUUGACGGUACUGAACGAGGAAGCCACGGCUAACUACGUGCCAGCAGCCGCGGUAAUACGUAGGUGGCAAGCGUUGUCCGGAAUUAUUGGGCGUAAAGAGCAUGUAGGCGGGAAUCUAAGUCUGUUGUGAAAAUGCGGGGCUCAACCCCGUAUUGCGAUGGAAACUGGGUUUCUUGGUUGCAGGAGAGGAAAGGGGAAUUCCCAGUGUAGCGGUGAAAUGCGUAGAUAUUGGGAGGAACACCAGUGGCGAAGGCGCCUUUCUGGACUGUGUCUGACGCUGAGAUGCGAAAGCCAGGGUAGCGAACGGGAUUAGAAACCCUGGUAGUCC